UAUCUCCUGCAGCGUUCGAGCAAUGCUGGGUGUUUCCUGAACCUGUUUUUACCCCGGAAACUUUUUGCCAGUCAUGGUGCGCAUGCCUGUUUAUUCAGGAAGCCUGAUUGACUGGAUUUGGUUUCCACUUGAACCUUCGGUUCAAGGACGAAAGCAUGAGACGGCGCAGGCGGGAGAUCU
RNAcentral lists this non-coding RNA (180 nucleotides) under Methylomonas methanica MC09. Its description in RNAcentral is "6S / SsrS RNA". It matches the Rfam family "6S / SsrS RNA". From Rfam's summary of the family: E. coli 6S RNA was the first non coding RNA to be sequenced, but its function was unknown until recently. Lineage: Bacteria; Pseudomonadati; Pseudomonadota; Gammaproteobacteria; Methylococcales; Methylococcaceae. The record is from Rfam by way of RNAcentral.